GCCGCCCUAGCUCAACAGUAGAGCAACUCUUUUGUAAAGAGUAGGUUCUGGGUGCAAAUCCCGGGGGCGGCUCCA
This 75-nucleotide transfer RNA is filed under the name Candidatus Liptonbacteria bacterium RIFCSPHIGHO2_01_FULL_57_28. Its description in RNAcentral is "tRNA-Thr". It matches the Rfam family "tRNA". Rfam says of the family: Transfer RNA (tRNA) molecules are approximately 80 nucleotides in length. Their secondary structure includes four short double-helical elements and three loops (D, anti-codon, and T loops). Further hydrogen bonds mediate the characteristic L-shaped molecular structure. tRNAs have two regions of fundamental functional importance: the anti-codon, which is responsible for specific mRNA codon recognition, and the 3' end, to which the tRNAs corresponding amino acid is attached (by aminoacyl-tRNA synthetases). tRNAs cope with the degeneracy of the genetic code in two manners: having more than one tRNA (with a specific anti-codon) for a particular amino acid; and 'wobble' base-pairing, i.e. permitting non-standard base-pairing at the 3rd anti-codon position. The record is from RNAcentral. Lineage: Bacteria; Candidatus Liptoniibacteriota.